AUUGAACGCUGGCGGCAGGCCUAACACAUGCAAGUCGAGCGAGCGGCGGACGGGUGAGUAAUGUCUGGGGAACUGCCUGCUAGAGGGGGAUAACUACUGGAAACGGUGGCUAAUACCGCAUACUAUAGGAUGCCCCCAUAUGGGAUUAGCUAGUAGGAGGGGUAAAGGCUCACUGAGGCAACGAUCUCUAGCUGGUCUGAAAGGAUGAUCAGCCACACUGGGACUGAGACACGGUCCAGACUCCUACGGGAGGCAGCAGUGGGGAAUAUUGCACAAUGGGCGCAAGCCUGAUGCAGCCAUGCCGCGUGUAUGAAGAAGGCCUUCGGGUUGUAAAGUACUUUCAGCGGGGAGGCGUUACCCGCAGAAGAAGCACCGGCUAACUCCGUGCCAGCAGCCGCGGUAAUUC
RNAcentral lists this ribosomal RNA (406 nucleotides) under uncultured bacterium. Its description in RNAcentral is "partial 16S ribosomal RNA". It matches the Rfam family "Bacterial small subunit ribosomal RNA", at positions 30 to 526 of the family's 1533-position model. The record is from RNAcentral.